RNAcentral lists this ribosomal RNA (460 nucleotides) under uncultured bacterium. RNAcentral describes it as "SSU rRNA". It matches the Rfam family "Bacterial small subunit ribosomal RNA", at positions 26 to 518 of the family's 1533-position model. The record is from RNAcentral.
AGGAUUAACGCUGGCGGCGUGCCUAACACAUGCAAGUCGAACGAGGUAGCAAUACCUAGUGGCAGACGGGUGAGUAACGCGUGGUCAACCUACCGUUGAGUGGGGGAUAACUAGCCGAAAGGUUAGCUAAUACCGCAUACGUCUCCGAGGGGCAUCUCUUGGCGAUAAAAGGAGCAAUCCGCUCGAUGACGGGACCGCGUCCCAUUAGCUAGAUGGUGGGGUAACGGCCUACCAUGGCACCGAUGGGUAGCUGGUUUGAGAGAGCGACCAGCCACACUGGGACUGAGAAACGGCCCAGACUCCUACGGGAGGCAGCAGUGAGGAAUUUUCCGCAAUGGGCGCAAGCCUGACGGAGCGACGCCGCGUGUGGGAAGAAGGCCUUCGGUCGUAACCACUGUCGAAGGGACGAUAAUGACGGUACCCUUGGAGGAAGCCCGGCUAACUACGUGCCAGCAGCCGC